CCCGCCACUACACCCGUCUGCUGGUGACUGAGUGUAAUCCAGUGGAGGCUCAGAAGCGACCCGGCUUCAGGAAACAGAGCUGUUCACACUAAUGGACACCUCUGUGCCGAAAAGUCUGGAACAAGA
RNAcentral lists this small nucleolar RNA (126 nucleotides) under Amphiprion percula (orange clownfish). RNAcentral's name for it is "Small nucleolar RNA SNORA65 (ENSAPEG00000000058.1)". It matches the Rfam family "Small nucleolar RNA SNORA65". From Rfam's summary of the family: U65 belongs to the H/ACA class of snoRNAs which are thought to guide the sites of modification of uridines to pseudouridines. The record is from Rfam by way of RNAcentral. Lineage: Eukaryota; Metazoa; Chordata; Actinopteri; Pomacentridae.